CGGAGCGCGGCCAGCAGCCGCGAGCGCGCCGCGUCGGCGAGACCCAUCCUGGGAUGGUUUAGGCCCGGGACUCCAUCUCCAUGGAUGAGGAAGCGCGAGCGGAGGAUGCUUGGGAGGUGAGGUGAUCGGGGUUGGAGUUCGAGAGGCGGGGGUGAGUCCGGAUUGGAGCGGUUGGGGGUUUGGGGGGCCGGAGAGGUUUGUCUCACGGAGAAAGACAGGAAGGGGAUAUUUUGGAUCGAUUUCUUUUUCGAGGGAGAAAUUCAUUUUAUACUCGUACUAAUUUCAGUAUGGAACUCUUUUUUUUAGUAGAUUUCAGUAUGGAACUUGUUCCUACAAUGGGUCGAUG
Molecule: long non-coding RNA, 346 nt
Filed under: Hordeum vulgare
Lineage: Eukaryota; Viridiplantae; Streptophyta; Magnoliopsida; Poales; Poaceae
Description: long non-coding RNA (HVUL_LNC011659)
Source: RNAcentral